ACUCAAAUGAAUUGACGGGACCCCGCACAAGCGGUGGAGCAUGUGGAUUAAUUCGAUACUAACCGAAGAACCUUACCCAGGUUUGACAUCGAUGGAAAGCCUAUGAAAGUAGGCCCCCGACCCACAAGGUCGGCCUGAAGACACCUGUUGCAUGGCUGUCGUCAGCUCGUGCCGUGAGGUGUAGGGUUAAGUCCUCUAACGAGCGCAACCCUCGUCCUAUGUUGCCAGCGGGUAAAGCCGGGAACUCAUAGGAGACCGCCGGUGUAAAUCGGAGGAAGGCGAGGAUGACGUCAAGUCAGCAUGGCGGUUACGCCUGGGGCUUCACACAUGCUACAAUGGGCGAAACAAAGGGCAGCAAGACCGCGAGGUGGAGCUAAUCCCAAAAAUACGCCCCCAGUUCAGAUUGCAGUCUGCAACUCGACUGCAUGAAGGCGGAAUCGCUAGUAAACGCAGGUCAGCUAUACUGCGUUGAAUACGUUCCCGGGGUUUGCACACACCGCCCGU
This 504-nucleotide ribosomal RNA is filed under the name uncultured bacterium. Its description in RNAcentral is "partial 16S ribosomal RNA". It matches the Rfam family "Bacterial small subunit ribosomal RNA", at positions 899 to 1397 of the family's 1533-position model. The record is from RNAcentral.